UACGUAGGGGGCUAGCGUUGUCCGGAUUUAUUGGGCGUAAAGAGCGUGUAGGCGGCCAGGUAGGUCUGCUGUGAAAACUCGAGGCUCAACCUCGAGAUGUCGGCGGAAACCAUCUGGCUAGAGUCCGGAAGAGGAAAGUGGAAUUCCUGGUGUAGCGGAGGAAUGCGCAGAUAUCAGGAGGAACACCAAUAGCGAAGGCAGCUCGCUGGGACGUCACUGACACUGAGGCGCGAAAGCGUGGGGAGCGAACAGG
This 253-nucleotide ribosomal RNA is filed under the name uncultured bacterium. Its description in RNAcentral is "partial 16S ribosomal RNA". It matches the Rfam family "Bacterial small subunit ribosomal RNA", at positions 524 to 776 of the family's 1533-position model. The record is from RNAcentral.